AGGAAGUGCGGCUGAAGGACUGGUCAAUGAAGACACCCUCAAGUUAUUGAUAAGGGAGCCCAAAGUAACUGCAGAAUUUGGCCCUCUCCCUGCAAGUAUCUUCAAAAUGCCCACAGCCAUGUUGACCACAGCCAAGCUAUGAUGUCAUGCCUGGAAAAAGUGAACACCUCACAGCCCAAUCUUGGACAUGUUUGUUGUUGCAACCCCAUUCUGGUUAUACGGUAGCACCUCAGAGUUACGAGCUGACCGGUCAACCACACACCUCGUUUGGAACUGGAAGUACGCAAUCAGGCAGCAGCAGAGACGGAAAAAAAAAGCAGCAAAUACAGGUCAGUGCUGUGUUAAACGGA
This is a non-coding RNA of Chrysemys picta bellii (western painted turtle), 350 nucleotides long. Lineage: Eukaryota; Metazoa; Chordata; Testudines; Emydidae. The record is from RefSeq and is a predicted model, not a curated record.